This 468-nucleotide ribosomal RNA is filed under the name uncultured soil bacterium. Its description in RNAcentral is "bacterial SSU rRNA". It matches the Rfam family "Bacterial small subunit ribosomal RNA", at positions 13 to 529 of the family's 1533-position model. The record is from RNAcentral.
UUGAUCAUGGCUCAGAACGAACGCUGGCGGCAGGCUUAACACAUGCAAGUCGAACGCCCCGCAAGGGGAGUGGCAGACGGGUGAGUAACGCGUGGGAAUCUACCCAGAUCUACGGAACAACAGAGGGAAACUUCUGCUAAUACCGGAUACGUCCGCAAGGAGAAAGAUUUAUCGCCGAAAGAUCGGCCCGCGUCGGAUUAGCUAGUUGGUGGGGUAAAAGCCUACCAAGGCGACGAUCCGUAGCUGGUCUGAGAGGAUGAUCAGCCACACUGGGACUGAGACACGGCCCAGACUCCUACGGGAGGCAGCAGUGGGGAAUAUUGGACAAUGGGCGCAAGCCUGAUCCAGCCAUGCCGCGUGGGUGAAGAAGGCCCUAGGGUUGUAAACCCCUUUCAGCGGGGAAGAUAAUGACGGUACCCGCAGAAGAAGCCCCGGCUAACUCCGUGCCAGCAGCCGCGGUAAUACGGA